AGGAUGGGCUCGUGACUCAUAUACUAACACUAGAAAAAUACAGAGAAGAGUAAUAUGCCCUCAGCACAAGAAUGACAUGCUACUUUACAAAGAAUUCCAUAUCUUA
Molecule: small nuclear RNA, 106 nt
Filed under: Phascolarctos cinereus (koala)
Lineage: Eukaryota; Metazoa; Chordata; Mammalia; Diprotodontia; Phascolarctidae
Source: RNAcentral